Long non-coding RNA from Homo sapiens (human), 1444 nucleotides. RefSeq lists it as uncharacterized. Lineage: Eukaryota; Metazoa; Chordata; Mammalia; Primates; Hominidae. The record is from RefSeq and is a predicted model, not a curated record. The transcript is spliced from 2 exons.
GAUGUGAGGCAAGGGAGCAAUGAACAAAUCUCACCAUUGUGAGAUCUGAAAUUCAGAACGGUGGCAUAGGCCAGAGUAGGACAUUGUGAAAAAGAAACAAUUAGAGAAGCAGAAAGAGUGCUUGGAAAUGUCAAUUAUGCUGCUGAAUUAAAAAAAAAAAAAUCAGUAAAAGAUGGAAGUAAAUCUCCCUGAAAGUGGAAUGAAGACUGAAAGACAGAAAAUCAGAACACCCAAGAAACAUGCAGACUCAAUCCAAGGACAUCCAAUAUCCUGCUAUUGGAAGUUCCAGAAAGGGAGAUGAGAGGAAAUAGAGACUAAAGAAAGGGCCCACUGAGAACCUCUAGCAGAAAAGAGCAGCCACUGUGUCAUCAUGCCCUUCAGGAACAGCAGAGAUAAAGACAACAUUCUAGAAUCUUCUCAAAGAAGUAACAGGCGAUUUUCCAAACAUGGGCCUCUGAACAGAUCAGUCUUUGGUAGAGAAAAUUUAUGAAGAGAGAUGCCUUCAAAAUUGUGAAGGAAAAUAAAAUUCUAUACCUAGCCAAAGUAUCUAUCAAGGGUGAGGAUACAGUAAAGACAUUUUCAGAUACUCAAGAACUUAUAAAAUUUUUCCAAGUCACUGCAGGAAAAAAGUAUAGAAUUUGCUUUCUAUCCCUUUUCUUAGAAGGUUCUGGAGAAUGCACUCCAGCAAAACGUGGGAGGAAACCAGGGAAAAGGAAGGCACCAACAACAAGGAGGCAGAAGACCCUACACAGACAGAACAGGGAGGUCCAAGCCCAGCAGCUGGCUCAGGGCUACAGGCCUCCAGCCCAGGCAGCCCAGGCAGGAGCAGAGGACAGGAUACUCCUGAAGAGGCCACCCAGGAAGAGAAAAUAGGUGGGACUGGGAAGAAAAUCUGCAACGGAGCUUCCAAAACAGCGGAGGAUCUCCCUGAGGGAGGUGUUGUUAGAGAAGAGAGCAGAGAAGCAGGAGAACCCAGAAAGGAAAUAAAGUUACUUGAGGACGUGCUCUAGCAAAAUGAGAGGAAAAAACAAAGAAAGAGAAACACAAUUCAAGAACCAGGGAGACUCCAACACCAAAAACAAAAGGCCAAGAGAAUUUUCAACAUGAGUGAAAGAAGUUCUAGCAUUACAGCUGCUCAGCAUGCCUACAGUGCAAACAGUCCUGCUAAGACUCCAGGAAGAAAUCCCAGAAGAAAAAAAAAAUGAAGGUGAUAGACUGCCAGUAUUCUCAAUAGGAUGAAAGAAGUUUUACAAUUCUUACAGAAAGUUCAAGAAUGAAUUAGUGACAGAUGCAGUAAAAAACAAGCAAAACCUAAGGCCAUUUGUAACCCAAGGGAAAACAAGAAGAUGUAAUCAUAACAGACCACAGGACACAGCUAAAAACAGUGAUUACAUAGUGACAUAAAGAGUUAUAUACUGUUUGUGUAAAACGCAAACAGUAAGUA